GACGAACGCUGGCGGCGUGCUUAACACAUGCAAGUCGAACGGAAAGGCCCUGCUUUUGUGGGGUGCUCGAGUGGCGAACGGGUGAGUAACACGUGAGUAACCUGCCCUUGACUUUGGGAUAACUUCAGGAAACUGGGGCUAAUACCGGAUAGGAGCUCCUGCUGCAUGGUGGGGGUUGGAAAGUUUCGGCGGUUGGGGAUGGACUCGCGGCUUAUCAGCUUGUUGGUGGGGUAGUGGCUUACCAAGGCUUUGACGGGUAGCCGGCCUGAGAGGGUGACCGGCCACAUUGGGACUGAGAUACGGCCCAGACGACUACGGGAGGCAGCAGUGGGGAAUAUUGCACAAUGGGCGGAAGCCUGAUGCAGCAACGACGCGUGCGGGAUGACGGCCUUCGGGUUGUAAACCGCUUUCGCCUGUGAAGAAGAGUGAGUGACGGUAAUGGGUAAAGAAGCACCGGCUAACUACGUG
This 468-nucleotide ribosomal RNA is filed under the name uncultured bacterium. Its description in RNAcentral is "partial 16S ribosomal RNA". It matches the Rfam family "Bacterial small subunit ribosomal RNA", at positions 28 to 507 of the family's 1533-position model. The record is from RNAcentral.